AGCGAACGCUGGCGGCAGGCUUAACACAUGCAAGUCGAGCGGGCAUCCUUGUGGUGUCAGCGGCAGACGGGUGAGUAACGCGUGGGAACGUGCCCUUCGGUUCGGAAUAACUCAGGGAAACUUGAGCUAAUACCGGAUACGUGCGAGAGCAGAAAGGUUUAUCUGCCGAAGGAUCGGCCCGCGUCUGAUUAGCUAGUUGGUGAGGUUAUGGCUCACCAAGGCGACGAUCAGUAGCUGGUCUGAGAGGAUGAUCAGCCACACUGGGACUGAGACACGGCCCAGACUCCUACGGGAGGCAGCAGUGGGGAAUAUGGGACAAUGGGGGCAACCCUGAUCCAGCCAUGCCGCGUGAGUGAUGACGGCCUUAGGGUUGUAAAGCUCUUUUCUUCGGGACGAUAAUGACGGUACCGGAGGAAUAAGCCCCGGCUAACUUCGU
RNAcentral lists this ribosomal RNA (436 nucleotides) under uncultured bacterium. RNAcentral's name for it is "partial 16S ribosomal RNA". It matches the Rfam family "Bacterial small subunit ribosomal RNA", at positions 29 to 506 of the family's 1533-position model. The record is from RNAcentral.